Molecule: long non-coding RNA, 779 nt
Organism: Daphnia pulicaria
Lineage: Eukaryota; Metazoa; Arthropoda; Branchiopoda; Diplostraca; Daphniidae
Exons: 4
Source: RefSeq, a predicted model, not a curated record
AUUGCUGUUUAGUCCUAUUUACGAACUGACAACACAAACGAAUUGUGUGCUUGACAUUAUAGGCCCAAUCUACGUUCCUUCCAUUAAUUUGAUUUCUGGUUUCGGCUCAUGUAAAACAAAUAUGUUUCGUCCUGAAUUGACCGACGAUCAAAAAAAUUUCUAGAGUUUCAGCUGCAAAAACAAUCAUGAAGAAUGUAGAAAAUUACACCAUGGGUGUCAGUUACGGAGACAGUCAACGGUUCAGUUUUGAAGACAACGGAACAAUGUAUUUGUAUCACAAAUCAGAAAAGGAGAAGAUUCCCAGCACUGUUCUUGUUUGGAGCUGUAUAACUACUAUCAACUCAACAAUUUCACGAGUUGAUGGUAGACGGGACUCAGCUAAAUACAGAAACCUUCUAGAAGAGCAUGAGCUUCCAUUGGCACCACAGACUACAUAGCACAUGAUUAAAUACGUCCAUGACUGGUUUCCGGUCCAUUAUUCUACUGCCAUGAAAAAGUAUUAUAGUGAACACAAAAAUGCGUUGAUUCUUCGUGACUGGCCAAGAUGUUUUAGAGACGUGAUGCCUGCCGAAUCGCUCUGGAAGCAGAUGCUCAACGAGCUAACUGAAAAUAAAAUUGAAGUUUUUAGUUAGAACAAACUAUGGAAAUAAAUUUACAAAGUUCGUCUAAACCAAAUUUCAGUUAGUCUUGAGCAAGUGGUCAACAACCAAGGUGCUUGUGUUGAUUAGUAUUCUGUUUGUUGGCACUUUCUUAACAGUUAAUACAAACAAUCCCUCAGA